UUGAUGGCGACCGGCGCACGGGUGAGUAACACGUAUCCAACCUGCCGAUGACUCGGGGAUAGCCUUUCGGAAGAAAGAUUAAUACCCGAUGGCAUAGUUCUUCCGCAUGGUAGAACUAUUAAAGAAUUUCGGUCAUCGAUGGGGAUGCGUUCCAUUAGGUUGUUGGCGGGGUAACGGCCCACCAAGCCUUCGAUGGAUAGGGGUCCUGAGAGGAAGGUCCCCCACAUUGGAACUGAGACACGGUCCAA
RNAcentral lists this ribosomal RNA (248 nucleotides) under uncultured bacterium. RNAcentral describes it as "partial 16S ribosomal RNA". It matches the Rfam family "Bacterial small subunit ribosomal RNA", at positions 85 to 334 of the family's 1533-position model. The record is from RNAcentral.